Molecule: ribosomal RNA, 253 nt
Filed under: uncultured bacterium
Lineage: Bacteria
Description: partial 16S ribosomal RNA
Rfam family: Bacterial small subunit ribosomal RNA
Source: RNAcentral
UACGGGGGGAGCAAGCGUUGUUCGGAUUUACUGGGCGUAAAGGGCGCGUAGGCGGCGUGACAAGUCACUUGUGAAAUCUCCGGGCUUAACUCGGAACGGUCAAGUGAUACUGUCGUGCUAGAGUACAGAAGGGGCAACUGGAAUUCUCGGUGUAGCGGUGAAAUGCGUAGAUAUCGAGAGGAACACCUGCGGCGAAGGCGGGUUGCUGGGCUGAUACUGACGCUGAGGCGCGAAAGCAUGGGGAGCGAAUGGG